GAUGAACGCUAGCGGCAGGCCUAACACAUGCAAGUCGAGGGGUAGAGGAAGCUUGCUUCCUUGAGACCGGCGCACGGGUGCGUAACGCGUAUGCAAUCUACCUUAUACAGGGGAAUAGCCCAGAGAAAUUUGGAUUAAUGCCCCAUAGUAUUAUUGAAUGGCAUCAUUUGAUAAUUAAAGUUCCAACGGUAUAAGAUGAGCAUGCGUCCCAUUAGUUAGUUGGUAAGGUAACGGCUUACCAAGACUAUGAUGGGUAGGGGUCCUGAGAGGGAGAUCCCCCACACUGGUACUGAGACACGGACCAGACUCCUACGGGAGGCAGCAGUGAGGAAUAUUGGACAAUGGGCGCAAGCCUGAUCCAGCCAUGCCGCGUGCAGGAAGACGGUCCUAUGGAUUGUAAACUGCUUUUAUACAGGAAGAAACACCUCUACGUGUAGAGGCUUGACGGUACUGUAAGAAUAAGGAUCGGCUAACUCCGUGCCAGCAGCC
RNAcentral lists this ribosomal RNA (489 nucleotides) under uncultured bacterium. RNAcentral's name for it is "bacterial SSU rRNA". It matches the Rfam family "Bacterial small subunit ribosomal RNA", at positions 28 to 516 of the family's 1533-position model. The record is from RNAcentral.